RNAcentral lists this unclassified non-coding RNA (234 nucleotides) under Hevea brasiliensis (rubber tree). The record is from RNAcentral. Lineage: Eukaryota; Viridiplantae; Streptophyta; Magnoliopsida; Malpighiales; Euphorbiaceae.
AUGGUAUACAAAAUUAGCUCCUUGCCAUUUCAUAAUUGCAAACAAAGAUGCACAUCUCAUAAAUUAUCUAAUUGUCUUAAACAAUACUCUUUACAUGAGCAGACAGCAUUGCGAGUUUGAAUGCAUUCUUAUGCAGGUGGUGGAGAGGAUAUUAAUGGUACAGAAGAGGUGAAUAACAGUACAUAGCGAGGAUUUAAAACCUGGCAAGCAUUAUAUUAUUCCCACAAUUCCCAC